UGGGGAAUAUUGCACAAUGGGCGCAAGCCUGAUGCAGCCAUGCCGCGUGUAUGAAGAAGGCCUUCGGGUUGUAAAGUACUUUCAGCGGGGAGGAAGGCGAUAAGGUUAAUAACCUUGUCGAUUGACGUUACCCGCAGAAGAAGCACCGGCUAACUCCGUGCCUGCAGCCGCGGUAAUACGGAGGGUGCAAGCGUUAAUCGGAAGUACUGGGCGUAAAGCGCACGCAGGCGGUCUGUCAAGUCGGAUGUGAAAUCCCCGGGCUCAACCUGGGAACUGCAUUCGAAACUGGCAGGCUGGAGUCUUGUAGAGGGGGGUGGAAUUCCAGGUGUAGCGGUGACAUGCGUAGAGAUCUGGAGGAAUACCGGUGGCGAAGGCGGCCCCCUGGACUAAGACUGACGCUCAGGUGCGAAAGCGUGGGGAGAAAACA
This 427-nucleotide ribosomal RNA is filed under the name uncultured bacterium. Its description in RNAcentral is "bacterial SSU rRNA". It matches the Rfam family "Bacterial small subunit ribosomal RNA", at positions 355 to 774 of the family's 1533-position model. The record is from RNAcentral.